CCCAAGUACGCAACAAUCCCGAAUCACAGUUAAUAAUUGAUUUCGAGUAGAACACGUUCAACACUCUCUUUCGUCUUUAUAUAGCCUCAGUUCGCUGCAAAUUCUCCACAAAAUAUUUAUUCUUAGCCACAUAUGUAAACAAGCUACCAAUUGGCUAAGCGUUGAUCAGUUAGAACACACACCACUACAAACCGAAGUUUCCGUCACACCCAAACCACCAAUUGGUCCCUACCGUAGCUCAGGCCAGCCUAGAUCCGCCGUCUUCCAUCAUCUCAUUGUCAUUGUCGUUGAUCUCAGACUAGCCACCAGCCCGUUGCAAGUCUCUUUUCUCUCUAGAGAUAAUCCAGGAGGCAAGCAAAUGGAUAGCAGAGGCAACUCCGAGAACCUAAGGUGACACAAUGGGAGAAAGUUCCCAAGGAAGAGGGGUUGGACGAGGUAUUCGUGCCAGACGAUUUGUACCGUACUCAUGUAGAGCUAGCCGAUCACGAGAAAUUCGCAUUGAUUCAUACCACAACCCUUCAGAUGCAGAUCAAUCAGACUCGAAUGACUCAGCGCAGCCUCCCAGUCAUCCAUGGGAGCCUCCAUGUCUCAUUCCAAUGCCCCCACCCGAGCCGAAUAGAGAACCCUCACCCGUACAAGAAGUCCCACCAAACGGAGACAAUAUCGGUACGGUCAUCAUUUCUAAACUUUUUUCAAUAUAGAACCCCUAGGACAUAUAUGUGUAAACAACAAAGAUUAAAUAUGAAGACUAAUAGUCAAUUCUUGUUAUCUUGAAAUAUAGAUGCGACCACCCCCACGAUGCCUACAGCAAACCUGGAACAGCACAAACGUAGACAUGGGCCUGCUAAGUGUAUUGAGUUCGAGAAGUUGAGGAAGCAUGGAAAAGUGCUUUUAAAAAUUAAUGACAGAGAAACAACACCGUGCUAUGAGAAUGCAUCCAUGUUCAUGACACGGGUAACGUAAAUUGUAAAACAACAUUGCGACAUGAGUUAUGUGAGAUAGACCGAUGUACUGCAAACACAAAAGGAUGAGUUGAUCGACUGUGUAAGGGUAAGACAGUUGUUAUUUCAUUUUGAGGGUAAGGAAGUGGGCGUACAAUACAACAUGAUGUUAACGUGAUGUUCAACCAUGUAGGGUGACUUCGUGUUGAAUUGGGAUCGGAAGAAUCAUAGAUUGACCAUCUUGAAGCAAUUGCGUAAGCAUUUCAAUUCAUUCCAUCACAAAUUACACAAAAAAUAUUUAUCAUACGGAAGUCACGAAGAAGCAUCGGCUUCUGGGAGUACCAUGGUCAACUUGCACGUCUGGGUUAAGUUGUGUGGGAAGUGGGGAAGCAACAAAUUCAAGAAAAUCUCAAGACAAAAUCAAGAGAAUAGAAAGAGGCUAACCAUUAACCACACAGCAGGCCGCAAAUCCUUUGUUAGAAUACUGGAGGAAAAGGUAUAAUAUUUCAACUGAUUUUUGUCGUAACUUUUAUGGUCACAACCCAUUCUCCCAUAACCUUGCUCAAAACCCAUUUGCUGCAUUUAUACUAGUCCACUAAUUUCAUUAGACAUUUGUAAGGGUGCUCAUAAUAUGGAAAAUCAUGUUGGUUAAGGUCAUCUCUAGUUUGAUAACGCAUAAAAGGUUGUUUCCUAAAAAAAUAGAAACUUAGUUUGUACAGUUUUGAGAUCUAACCGUAUACAAGUUAAUUGUUAGCGUAUAAAUACUUAGAAUGUAGGAUAAUAGAGUUGGGGACAACUUAUUUAACAUACGACAUAAUAAUUGGUUAGAAGGACAUCUUAUGUUGU
Molecule: long non-coding RNA, 1787 nt
Organism: Juglans microcarpa x Juglans regia
Lineage: Eukaryota; Viridiplantae; Streptophyta; Magnoliopsida; Fagales; Juglandaceae
Exons: 4
Source: RefSeq, a predicted model, not a curated record